This is a long non-coding RNA of Dermochelys coriacea (leatherback sea turtle), 2370 nucleotides long. RefSeq lists it as uncharacterized. The record is from RefSeq and is a predicted model, not a curated record. The transcript has 3 exons. Lineage: Eukaryota; Metazoa; Chordata; Testudines; Dermochelyidae.
UCAAAUGCUUUUAAAGGACAGUGACUUUUUAAUGGUUCUAAACUCUACUAACCAGGACAGAGCAUCUGCUAGCUAAUUCACACUGCAUGAUUUUAUGUCGCAGCCUCCCCCUUCCCAUCCCUCUGUUUCAUUUGUCAUUGUUUAAGGCCCCGAUCCUGCUCAUGCUUACUUUUACAUGUGUGAGCCAGCCCCAUGGAAUGCAGUGGGAGUACUCACAUGCUUAAAGUGAAAUGUGUGCAUAAACCUUUGCAGCCUUGAGGCCUAAGAUUUGAAGUUUUUUGGUGCAGGGAUCUUGUUUUCCUUAUGUCACUAAAGCAUCGUGCAGAUUUAUCGUGUUACAAAAUAAUAAUAAUAGACCCAGGACGAGGAACACACUUUAUUUUACAAAUACUAAGAAAAUAGACUCUUCAUAUAUAUUUGUCCUUCUGAACAUAAAAUAUAAAACCAGCACUGAGUACCAGUGAUAUCUUAGGGGCAGACAGUAACAUUAGGGUGAAAAUAACCUUGAAUAUCUUCUUUGGAUUUAGAAAAAGAGGUCUCAUGGCAUAGGGAAGGUAUUGAUUGGGAGGUUGUUUCAUAAGUAUCAUUGAUCUGUUACAAAUGCAAAGCAAGGAGCAGGCUGUGACAGUGGGGAUAUUGAUGGUUAGUAAUUUUCAAAAAUUCAAGAAGUAACAUUACAAGCUAUAGUAUCAUUAUAACCUUUUCGGGUAUGAAAGUAAAUAGUAAAUAGAAGGGGCGGGGCCUCAGGUGGAAGGAGCAGGGCUGGGGGUCAGCCUCCCUCAGCCAGCCCGUCUACGCUACCUGGCCCUUGCCACCUAAGGGCUCUGGAGGCAAUUUAAACUGGCCCGGGGCUCUGGCUGCUGCUGCCAAUGCUGCCAUAGUAGAUUCUCCAUCACCCACCAUUUUUAGAUCAAAAUGGCCCCAGGGCAGCUGCCCCUUUUGCCCCCCUCCACUCUCUGUUGGCGGCCCGGGGGGGCAAAAGAGGCAACGGCAUUAAAGUGCUGCCGCAGCGCUUUAACAUCGCCGCCCCUUUGGCCCCCUCCCCUCUUGACAGGGAGGGCAAAAGGGGCAGCGAUGUUAAAGUGCUGUCGGUUGUGUAUGGGCCGGUACCGGCUUCUCACCGGUACGCUGUACCGGCCUGUACCAACCCCUGAACCUGAUCCAACUCUCAUUGCAGUCAAUGCAAAGACUCCCAAUGAUUUCAACAGAAGUUGGAUUGUAGUCCAAAAUAGUAAUACUCAUAGAGGUAGUGGACUAGCAUCUAACAACCAACCAGAAUUUCCAAAAAUACCCAUCAGUAUCAGAAAGUUAACGUCUUCACUGGGCUCAGAGCCCAAUUCAAAGCCCACUGGAGUCUUCCCAUGGAAUGUUGUUGGAGCUGGAUCAGGACAUGAGUGCCCACUUAUGGUUCAAGCAUGUUUACAGAUCCAUAUUAUAAGGCCGGAAGGGACUGCUGUGAUCUAGUCUGUUACACUUUUGUCCUGCACUAUUGAUAUGCAGCUAUUUGUUCUCAGAUAAAACAUUGCUGGAUACUCAGAAAAGAAAAUGUCAGUUUCUAAAAAUAAAUAAAUGAAUAAAAAGGUUGUUGCUGGAACCUAAUUGAUUGGACGUCAGAGUUCAAAAUAUUUGUGCACGUGGACCAAAUCUGUAAGGUGCUCAGCACUAGAGCUCAUCAAAAUGUUUACAGUGAAAAGGUAUUCAUUAGAAAAUGCCCUUCUUUUUCAUAGAAAGUGUUCACAAAGACCCUUUGAUAUUUUUCAAAACUUUUCAUUCUUUUCUUUUGGGGCUUUUUGAGUGUUUUCUGUUUCUUGUUGCUGUUGGUGAACUAUUUUCCUCUUUCUUUGGCCAUUUUCCUUUUAAAAAUGGCAGAAACGCUGUUUUCUUGUCCUAUCAUUUUUAAUUUCCAUUGAGAAAAUGGGAAAAGUUUCAAUAGAAAGUUUUAUGAAAAAAUCAAACCCUUGGGGGGGAAAUGAAAUUUUUGUGAGAUUCAUUCUUUCCCUUUUUCUGAUCACCUUCAACUGCAAUGACUUUCAGGGGGAGUUGAGGACACACAGCAACUUGCAGAGAGUACUCAGCAUGAAAGUUGGACUGGGCCAUACAUGAGGGCAACUCUGGAAGAGUGACUCGUUGUGCAAAUACUCACGCAAACUUCAGCGACAGGAAAACAGGCUAUUUCCUAGAUCUUUUCUGCCUCCAAUUCCCAUGUGUUCAAGAAUCGUUAAUCAGGUGCCAAGGACACUGGUGCUUCAUCCCCCCAGGAGCCUGGAGAUGUCUGUUAGCGUGAGUGACAGCGUGGAAUGUCUGCUAUUUCCCUGCAUUGCAUGGCUCAGAGGGGCCUGAUUUGGUUACACUGCGACCUUCUGUGCCAGC